This is a long non-coding RNA of Pecten maximus, 1170 nucleotides long. RefSeq lists it as uncharacterized. NCBI's taxonomy places the organism in Eukaryota, Metazoa, Mollusca, Bivalvia, Pectinida, Pectinidae. The transcript has 2 exons. The record is from RefSeq and is a predicted model, not a curated record.
UUUUGAAAUUUUCAAAUUCAAAUUUCAGUUGGCAGUUCAUAAGCUGGUGAACUCGCAACUGAAUUGGUAGGGUUAUAUAGUGGCAGUGCCAUACAAUGGUAAAAAUAUAGACAUGUUUCUUCAAACCCAAGGGUCAAAUCUGAUUUUGGAAUGUCAAAAACAUACUGUUACGGGUCUACUGGAUGCCCUGAUUUCUAAUGUACUGAGCUGUGAUGUAUGGUGCAGUCAAAUGAAUGAGUUUGUCCCAAAGGUUAGACAAGGAAAUAAAACUGUUUUUGAUCUUUUAAUGACAUUUGUAGUUAGAUUUAAAUAUAUUUUACCACAAAAUAACAAAUCUGUAUAUAAAUCUCAUGAGCAUAUUAUUAUCAUUAUACAGGUGUUAUUAUAUGUUCAUGGGUAUUGGCCUGCACAUUAUACAAUUAUUGCAUUUUGUGGAGGUGUACACGAGACUAUACUGACCUGGUCAAGUGUUUGUUCAUCGAGGCCUCAAUAAAUUUAUUGCAUUUUGUGGAGGUGUACACGAGACUAUAAUAUUUAUGGACCUGGUCAAGUGUUUGUUCAUCGAGGCCUCAAUAAAAGGCGAUGAUUGUAUGAUGUACAUGUAUAUAUUUUUUUGUUCUAAUGAAAAUAUUGACUAGUUGAUAUAAGUUUUUCCUGGAUGGCCAAAGUGAUGACCUUUAUGUAAAAUACUAGCUUUGUUAAGUAACGUUCAAUAUAAGUAAUGAAAUUUUUAAAAAAAGAACACUUUUUUUUCUUCUCAAAUUUUAUCCUCACCAACAUUAAUUAUGCUUUAAUUCUCGGCCUGGUCAGAUUCGGAAAAAACACCAAUGUAAUAUUUGGGAAAAAACAGCCCAUCAGAUGACACAAUGACACCUAUAAUGCAUAUAGAUUUUUUUCAUUAGAAUAAUAGUGAACGCAGGCAUUAUUUCCUAUCUACCUGGUACAUCAAUCUGUACUUGAUAUUUAUAGUAUCUAUAUUUUAACGGGAAAACGAUAAUUGAGCAUAAAUAUGUGAAAACCCAUCUUUAAUUGGAAGUAAGAAUAUCUUCAUCAUUUGCAAUAUAUUGUUAUCUUUAUUGUUUUCUUUUUUAUCACUUUUUUCUGUGCAGUGAUCUUGUGUAUAAAUCAUUCUAAACUGUAAUUGUAUUGAUUAAAGACAUUUAAAACUUG